This 460-nucleotide ribosomal RNA is filed under the name uncultured bacterium. RNAcentral's name for it is "partial 16S ribosomal RNA". It matches the Rfam family "Bacterial small subunit ribosomal RNA", at positions 338 to 795 of the family's 1533-position model. The record is from RNAcentral.
CCUACGGGAGGCAGCAGUGAGGAAUAUUGGUCAAUGGCCGGAAGGCUGAACCAGCCAUGCCGCGUGAAGGUCAGUGCCCUAUGGGCGUUAAACUUCUUUUGUGCGGGAGCAAUAAUGGUCACGUGUGGCCAGACGAGAGUACCGUACGAAUAAGCAUCGGCUAACUCCGGGCCAGCAGCCGCGGUAAUACGGGGGAUGCAAGCGUUAUCCGGAUUUAUUGGGGUUAAAGGGUGCGUAGGCUGUGAGGUAAGUCAGCGGUGAAAUGCCCCCGCUCAACGGGGUGAAGUGCCAUUGAUACUGCCUUGCUGGAAUGCGGAUGCCGUGGGAGGAAUGUGUGGUGUAGCGGUGAAAUGCAUAGAUAUCACACAGAACACCGAUUGCGAAGGCAUCUCACGAAUCCGCGAUUGACGCUGAUGCACGAAAGCGUGGGUAUCAAACAGGAUUAGAUACCCGUGUAGUC